RNAcentral lists this transfer RNA (71 nucleotides) under Idiocranium cf. russeli BMNH 2008.409. RNAcentral's name for it is "tRNA-Ser". It matches the Rfam family "tRNA". Rfam says of the family: Transfer RNA (tRNA) molecules are approximately 80 nucleotides in length. Their secondary structure includes four short double-helical elements and three loops (D, anti-codon, and T loops). The record is from RNAcentral. Lineage: Eukaryota; Metazoa; Chordata; Amphibia; Gymnophiona; Indotyphlidae.
AAAAAGGUGAUAGAAUGGUUAUAUAGCUAGCUUGAAACUGGUUAAUGUAGGUUCAAUUCCUACCCUUUUUG